Non-coding RNA from Bombyx mori (domestic silkworm), 69 nucleotides. NCBI's taxonomy places the organism in Eukaryota, Metazoa, Arthropoda, Insecta, Lepidoptera, Bombycidae. The record is from RefSeq and is marked provisional.
UCAGUCUUCCUAGAUAGAAUUCGUCGGUGGAUAACCUGGUUAUCCCCGUGUACUGUUAGGGUGGCCACG